RNAcentral lists this ribosomal RNA (464 nucleotides) under uncultured bacterium. RNAcentral describes it as "partial 16S ribosomal RNA". It matches the Rfam family "Bacterial small subunit ribosomal RNA", at positions 28 to 507 of the family's 1533-position model. The record is from RNAcentral.
GACGAACGCUGGCGGCGUGCUUAACACAUGCAAGUCGAACGGAAAGGCCCAGCUUGCUGGGUGCUCGAGUGGCGAACGGGUGAGUAACACGUGGGUGAUCUGCCCCUAACUUCGGGAUAAGCUUGGGAAACUGGGUCUAAUACCGGAUAGGACAAUCGUUUAGUGUCGGUUGUGGAAAGUUUUUUCGGUUAGGGAUGAGCCCGCGGCCUAUCAGCUUGUUGGUGGGGUAAUGGCCUACCAAGGCGUCGACGGGUAGCCGGCCUGAGAGGGUGGACGGCCACAUGGGGACUGAGAUACGGCCCAGACUCCUACGGGAGGCAGCAGUGGGGAAUAUUGCACAAUGGGCGCAAGCCUGAUGCAGCGACGCCGCGUGGGGGAUGACGGCCUUCGGGUUGUAAACCUCUUUCGACAGGGACGAAGCUUUGGUGACGGUACCUGUAUAAGAAGCACCGGCUAACUACGUG